GAUGAACGCUAGCGGCAGGCUUAAUACAUGCAAGUCGAGGGGUAGCAAGAUUGUAGCAAUACAAUUGUUGACGACCGGCAAACGGGUGCGGAACACGUACACAACCUUCCUACAAGUGGGGAAUAGCCCAGAGAAAUUUGGAUUAAUACCCCGUAACAUAGCGAUGUGGCAUCACAUUGCCAUUAUAGCUUCGGCGCUUGUUGAUGGGUGUGCGGCUGAUUAGAUAGUUGGCGGGGUAACGGCCCACCAAGUCUACGAUCAGUAGCUGAUGUGAGAGCAUGAUCAGCCACACGGGCACUGAGACACGGGCCCGACUCCUACGGGAGGCAGCAGUAAGGAAUAUUGGACAAUGGACGCAAGUCUGAUCCAGCCAUGCCGCGUGAAGGAUUAAGGUCCUCUGGAUUGUAAACUUCUUUUAUAAGGGACGAAAAAAGGUCUUUCUAGAUCGUCUGACGGUACCUUAUGAAUAAGCACCGGCUAACUCCGUGCCAGCAGCCGCGGUAA
Molecule: ribosomal RNA, 504 nt
Filed under: uncultured bacterium
Lineage: Bacteria
Description: partial 16S ribosomal RNA
Rfam family: Bacterial small subunit ribosomal RNA
Source: RNAcentral